GACCUGACUCGCGAUGCAUCUAGAUUACGCGAAGAACCUUACCAGGGCUUGACAUGCCUCUGACCGGUCUAGAGAUAGACCUUCACCUUCGGGUGCAGGGGACACAGGUGGUGCAUGGUUGUCGUCAGCUCGUGUCGUGAGAUGUUGGGUUAAGUCCCGCAACGAGCGCAACCCCUAUUUUUAGUUGCUAACAGUUAGGCUGAGCACUCUAGAGAGACUGCCGAUGACAAAUCGGAGGAAGGUGGGGAUGACGUCAAAUCAUCAUGCCCUUUAUGUCCUGGGCUACACACGUGCUACAAUGGUCGGUACAGCGAGCAGCUACUUAGUGAUAAGAUGCUAAUCUCUCAAAGCCGAUCUCAGUUCGGAUUGUAGGCUGCAACUCGCCUACAUGAAGUCGGAGUUGCUAGUAAUCGUGAAUCAGAAUGUCGCGGUGAAUGCGUUCCCGGGUCUUGUACACACCGA
This 462-nucleotide ribosomal RNA is filed under the name uncultured bacterium. RNAcentral describes it as "bacterial SSU rRNA". It matches the Rfam family "Bacterial small subunit ribosomal RNA", at positions 931 to 1393 of the family's 1533-position model. The record is from RNAcentral.